CAGGCCUAACACAUGCAAGUCGUACGAGAGUUUUUAACUCUAGUGGCGGACGGGUGAGUAACACGUGAGAAUUUGCCUUUAGGAGGGGGAUAACAAUUGGAAACGAAUGCUAAUACCCCAUAUGCUUUCGAGUGAAAUGGAUUUAUAUUUAUCCGCCUAGAGAGAAGCUCGCGGCUGAUUAGCUUGUUGGUAAGGUAAGAGCUUACCAAGGCGACGAUCAGUAUCUGGUUUGAGAGGACGAUCAGACACACUGGAACUGAGACACGGUCCAGACUCCUACGGGAGGCAGCAGUGGGGAAUUUUCCGCAAUGGGCGAAAGCCUGACGGAGCAAUACCGCGUGAGGGAAGACUGCCUAUGGGUUGUAAACCUCUUUUUUCAGGGAGGAAUAAAAUGACGUGUACCUGAAGAAUAAGCAUCGGCUAACUCCGUGCCAGCAGCCGCGGUAAGACGGAGGAUGCAAGUGUUAUCCGGAAUCACUGGGCGUAAAGCGUCUGUAGGUGGUCUAAUAAGUCAACUGUUAAAUCUUGAGGCUCAACUUCAAAAUCGCAGUCGAAACUACUAGACUAGAGUAUAGUAGAGGUAAAGGGAAUUUCCAGUGGAGCGGUGAAAUGCGUAGAUAUUGGAAAGAACACCGAUGGCGAAAGCACU
Molecule: ribosomal RNA, 649 nt
Filed under: uncultured bacterium
Lineage: Bacteria
Description: bacterial SSU rRNA
Rfam family: Bacterial small subunit ribosomal RNA
Source: RNAcentral